GACGAACGCUGGCGGCGUGCUUAACACAUGCAAGUCGAACGGAAAGGCCCUGCUUUUGUGGGGUGCUCGAGUGGCGAACGGGUGAGUAACACGUGAGUAACCUGCCCUUGACUUUGGGAUAACUUCAGGAAACUGGGGCUAAUACCGGAUAGGAGCUCCUGCUGCAUGGUGGGGGUUGGAAAGUUUCGGCGGUUGGGGAUGGACUCGCGGCUUAUCAGCUUGUUGGUGGGGUAGUGGCUUACCAAGGCUUUGACGGGUAGCCGGCCUGAGAGGGUGGCCGGCCACAGUGGGAGAAAGAUACGGCCCGGACUGCUGCGGGAGGCAGCAGGGGGGAAUGUUGCACAACGGGCGGAAGCCUGAUGGAGCAUCGCCGCGUGGGGGAUGAGGGCCUUCGGGUUGUAAACAACUUACGCCUGUGACGAAGCGUGAGUGACGGUAAUGGGUAAAGAAGCACCGGCUAACUACGUG
RNAcentral lists this ribosomal RNA (468 nucleotides) under uncultured bacterium. RNAcentral's name for it is "partial 16S ribosomal RNA". It matches the Rfam family "Bacterial small subunit ribosomal RNA", at positions 28 to 507 of the family's 1533-position model. The record is from RNAcentral.